Molecule: unclassified non-coding RNA, 354 nt
Filed under: soil metagenome
Description: partial contains 5.8S ribosomal RNA, internal transcribed spacer 2, and large subunit ribosomal RNA
Rfam family: 5.8S ribosomal RNA (bases 1-120)
Source: RNAcentral
GAUGAAGAACGUAGCGAAACGCGAUAUGUAAUGUGAAUUGCAGAAUUCAGUGAAUCAUCGAAUCUUUGAACGCUCAUGGCGCCUUCCAGUAUCCUGGGAGGCAUGCCUGUCCGAGCGUCGUUUCAACCCUCGAGCCCCCGUGGCCCGGCGUUGGGGAUCUGCCCAGGCAGUCCCCGAAAACCAGUGGCGGACCCGUUACAGGCCCUUCCCUUGCGUAGUAGCAUUCGCCUCGCAUCGGGAGCCGGCGGGCUUCCAGCCUCUAAACCCCCAUCAAGUCCGCCCCGGCGGCACCAAGGUUGACCUCGGAUCAGGUAGGAAUACCCGCUGAACUUAAGCAUAUCAAUAAGCGGAGGA